AAACAGGAAGGGCCCCCUUUUCCCCUCUGCUCCUGCUCUAGCUGCAGAAUGUGAUCCACCAGCAAGGAGGGACGCCAAUAAGGCGUCCGGAGAAGAAAAGCUAUGGAUACCAUCAAAAUUGGAGAAUAAAAGAAUACAACUAAGGAAUCUAAAGACCACCAGACAAAUGAGAUAUCUGAAGAGGGAAGACGAAUCGUGCAGAGAAAAUGUCCCAAGAAAAAGAAUAAAUUGUCCUAAUGGUAUAACACACUUCAAAUGAUAAAAUCUCAUAAAUCUUCCCAAAUAUUUUGUAGACCUAUGAAACAAAUGGCUGUUUUUUUUUUUUGAGUCCCAAUUCAACUAAAAAUUAAAUAUACUUUGAAGUUGGAGCAUGGGUCUCUCCUUCUCUAAACCCAAACAUUCUUGUUAAAGAAAAAUCCAAAAUCUCUGUUUCAUGUCAGAAGAGCCCCUGCUAUGGGACAGAAGAAAAACCAAAAUAAAGAGACUAUUCUAUUGCCACUAAUCUCAUAAUCCU
This 514-nucleotide long non-coding RNA is filed under the name Cricetulus griseus (Chinese hamster). Its description in RNAcentral is "lncRNA (ENSCGRG00015034567.1)". The record is from RNAcentral. Lineage: Eukaryota; Metazoa; Chordata; Mammalia; Rodentia; Cricetidae.